This 77-nucleotide microRNA precursor is filed under the name Ovis aries (sheep). Its description in RNAcentral is "miRNA (ENSOARG00000023697.1)". Lineage: Eukaryota; Metazoa; Chordata; Mammalia; Artiodactyla; Bovidae. The record is from RNAcentral.
UCCCGCAGGUCUGGGAGGGGCCUGAGAUCCUGCAUUUCUCACAAGCUCCCAGGCCAUGUGAUAUUGCUCAGCUGUGC